UACGGAGAGUGCGAACGUUGUUCGGAUUCACUGGGCGUAAAGGGCACGUAGGCGGCUUGGCAAAUCGGUCGUGGAAUCCCGACGCUUACCGUCGGAACGGCGGCCGAAAAUACCGAGCUCGAGGGCGUGAGGGGUCACUGGAACUCCUGGUGAAGCGGUGAAAUGCGUAGAUAUCAGGAGGAACGCCGGAGGCGAAAGCGAGUGACUGGCGCGUUCCUGACGCUGAGGUGCGAAAGCGUGGGGAGCGAACAGG
Molecule: ribosomal RNA, 253 nt
Filed under: uncultured bacterium
Lineage: Bacteria
Description: partial 16S ribosomal RNA
Rfam family: Bacterial small subunit ribosomal RNA
Source: RNAcentral